Molecule: small nuclear RNA, 284 nt
Filed under: Spermophilus dauricus (Daurian ground squirrel)
Lineage: Eukaryota; Metazoa; Chordata; Mammalia; Rodentia; Sciuridae
Description: 7SK RNA (ENSSDAG00000006486.1)
Rfam family: 7SK RNA (bases 1-248)
About the family: 7SK was discovered as an abundant small nuclear RNA in the mid-70s but a possible function has only recently been suggested. Two independent studies have found that 7SK RNA binds the CDK9/cyclin T complex (known as elongation factor P-TEFb). P-TEFb activates transcription by phosphorylating the C-terminal domain of RNA polymerase II.
Source: Rfam by way of RNAcentral
GGAUGUGAGGGUGAUCUGGCUGCUACAUCUAUCACCCCAUUCACUGCCAGGUUGAUUCUGCUGAUUCUAGCUGGCUGGGCGGUGUCCCCUUCCUCCCUCACCACUCCAUGUGCAUCCUUCUCGAAGAACCAUUCUUUGGUCAAUGAGUAGCUGCACUCCCCUGCUACAGCCUCUAAAGAAGCUCUCAAGAGAAAUGAAAGAACAUGUCCAUAUAAACAACAGUACUUGAAUGUCCACAUCAGCUUUAUGCAUAGUAACUAAAAAUCAAAAAUAUGCAGACAACC